UUUGUGAAGGGAGUUUUCCUCUCGCUCAGAAGCCUCUGCCGUGUGCUGCACUACAACCACGUUUUCUGCCUCUUGCUGAGCCAAGUUCAUUAGCCUCAGUGGGUGAGGAGCUUCAGAAUAAGAUAGAAGCCACAGUGGGCAGUAAUUAAUGCAGAGACUCACAACUGGCUCCUGAGGAUACGUGACCAUUGAGUGCUCAGCUGCAGAGGGUACACAUAUAUCAAUUCCCCACCUCAAGGCUCAGGGAGAGCAUGGGAAGAAUGGAGGAGCUGGAGGAGGAGUGCUGAGAAAUGCUAUUCUUUGGAUAUGACACGGCUAUUGCACACAUGGACUCACAAUAGCUGUGGUUCCCUGCACACCCCCUGUAGAAGAUCAAGCCUGUUACAAAUUCCAAACUGGAAGGAAGAGGGGACACUGAUGCCACGACCUGAACUCCAACACUAUUGGCAGUUGGGAGCUGCUGGGUGAAUGAAAGUCACCUUUCUUUAGGCAUACUCCAUUGUUCAUUAACCCCAUCAGCUUUACAAAAAGCGAAAACCAAAAGUCAAGAGCGAGUUUCUCUGCCAAAGUACAACUUUAACGAAAUGCCUCGGGAGAAGGAGGAUCACUGGGGCACGCUUGAUGCAAGACGAUGUUUUAUUAAAACAACAACUUCUCAUUUUAAACACAAGUUCUGGACUCGGGUUCAUUUCCCAACACUCACAUGGUGCUGGAUCACAACCGUCUGUAAGAAAAGGGAGAAGAGGAGAGAGGCGAGAGGCAGGGAGUAGAGAGACAGAGAGAGGAGCGGGGAGAGGGAGAGAGAAGGGAAUUUAAGAGCAAGAGCAGGGAAGAAGAGGAUCCUAGUGCUAGGGGAUCUGAUGCCCUCUUCUGGCUUUCCUGGGUACUGCAUGCAUGUGGUGCUUAGAUACUUGUGCAGGACACUAAUAGAUAUAAAAUAUAAAUAAAUAAAACAUCAAAGCAAAUUUGAAUGUACACUAUCUUCUACCUCUAUAAAUCAUCUACCUAUUUAGCAAUUUUUAUUUUUGAAAUAGGAAUGUUUGGGUUGUUCCUAACUGGGUAUGCAUCACUGAUAACAUGAUUGUGUCAAGGUUACCUUAGAUUGUAGACAAGAGUGUACUGUAGACUCUCUAUUUCUGGAGAGUCUAUUUGAAAAGAACCAUUUUCCCCAACGUUCUAUCAAAAGAGCCCGCUUCAAGAAGGCAGUAAGGUUGAACAGGGUUCUACAUCAAUCACCCAAAUCCAUAACUGAUAACACUCUGGGUCUCUUCGUGUACUUGGAACCAAGACUUGCUCUUUAAUGAAAUCAUUUCAAUCUUAGAGAAAAUUUGCAAAUAUAGUUGAAAAAUUUACACAUGCCUGAUACCCAUAUCUAUAUCCACUGAUGGCUAAUCAGCUGCCACUUGUGUUACCCUGGGUCUAUCGGUACACAAUCCCACACAGUCACUUCCACAGGGACAGCUUUAUGGCUUGACCUGAUCAUGGUGACAAGCGAAUGAAUAAAGGACAGACAGACAGACAGACAGACAGACACACCCACACACACCCACACACACACACACACACACACACACACACACACACACGGGGCGGGGAAGCUGGGGUUAGGUGGGCUGCUAUGUGGUCUGGUGGAGAUGCGCCAGGAGCAGCCAGGAAACUCAACAUGUUUAUUUCAUAUAUGUGAACGAAGGAGUUGUAUGCAACUGAAGGAGAGGAUGGUUAAGUCUGGAUAGGGGGCUGUCUGUAGGAGAGCAAUCUGAUAGGAACAUAAAAGAGUAAAAGGGUUUUCAUUUCCUGAACCCAGGGAAGGCUUCGCCAUUGCUUUGUGUCUGAAGCACUGGGUCCUUGACAUGGUCACGCUCAAGUCAAAAGAAAACACACUCAUUCAGGAUUCAUUCACUACUCACCCUCGAACAGAGAAUACGUGUGGGUUUUUUUUCUGAACUAUUUUCAGCCAACAGGCAUAUUUGCCCUUUGGUUUGUAUUUCCUGUGUUUCUCAGGACAACCUAUAUUUCCCCAGCAUAUAAUCUCACAGGAGCAUAGUACAAUUACUGAAAGUGGGAAUUUUAGCAAGUAUAUAGUAACCAGUUUACAGUCCAUAUUCCAUUAUUGACUGUUUUGGCAAUGUACAUUAGAGUAUUUUUUCUAGUAUAAGAUUCUGCCCAGGGUUACACUGUAUUGAGUUGUCAUGCAUAUUUACACUACAAUGGUUUGGAACAGUUCCUAAGCCUGCUUUGUGUAUCUGUCUGUCUUUUGUCAAUAUUUUUAUUUCAUUAUUUUCCAUGUAUGUGAGUCAUUUAUUUUAAAAAGUGUCACUUCAUACAAAUUUAGCUUAUGUUUCUUCAUGAUCUGAUUCAAAUAACUCCUAUCUGGCCAGAACACUACAGAGGGGAUCUUGUGUCUUACUCAAGGUUUCAAAGCUAUAAGCAUACGAUAGUCAUUUAAUAGUAUCGGUGAUGUUAAUUUGGUCAUUUGAUUAAAAUCUUUUCCCCUCAUUGUCCGAAUUUUCCUUUUGUGAUAAUAAAUGAUAGAUGAAUAGAUACUUCACAAGUAUCCUAUUCCUCAUUAAGCUCCCUUUAUCUACAAUUAGAAUACAUUUUGUAACCAAAGGUGUCAAAACUUUGCUAUUAGCAUAUAAAAGUGGGCACACAGAUGGAGGCCACUGCAGAAGACUAUAGCCAAUCAAAAUGAAGAUUAUGCAGGCCCAUCCUACCCUGUCCCAGUAGAUACAGCCACAAAACACUUGUGCACCUAAGGAUCAAGGAACAUACCAGAAGAGGAGACAGAAAGAUUGUAAGAGCUGGAAUGUCAAAGAGUUUGCUCUAAGAUUGUGUCCCCUAGCAAUAUCAGAGGCUACAUCCAUAAAGUUUCAACAACAUGACUGGCCAAAUGUGAGCUGGCCAAGGAUGACAGCAGUGAACAUGACAAACUGGAUGGAGGAAAACCCAACCUUACACAAACAACUACAGGGGAACUGAGGAAAGCUCGGAAUGGGAGAGGUGGGUUUUCCGCAAUGGAAAACACACCGAUUCGUUCUUUAGUGCCAAAGGAUCAGCCCUGAAAACAAACAUAUAU
Non-coding RNA from Rattus norvegicus (Norway rat), 3076 nucleotides. NCBI's taxonomy places the organism in Eukaryota, Metazoa, Chordata, Mammalia, Rodentia, Muridae. The record is from RefSeq and is a predicted model, not a curated record.